RNAcentral lists this ribosomal RNA (460 nucleotides) under uncultured bacterium. RNAcentral's name for it is "partial 16S ribosomal RNA". It matches the Rfam family "Bacterial small subunit ribosomal RNA", at positions 338 to 795 of the family's 1533-position model. The record is from RNAcentral.
CCUACGGGUGGCAGCAGUGAGGAAUAUUGGUCAAUUGACGAGAGUCUGAACCAGCCAAGUAGCGUGAAGGAUGACUGCCCUAUGGGUUGUAAACUUCUUUUAUAUGGGAAUAAAAUGUUCCACGUGUGGGAUUUUGUAUGUACCAUAUGAAUAAGGAUCGGCUAACUCCGUGCCAGCAGCCGCGGUAAUACGGAGGAUCCGAGCGUUAUCCGGAUUUAUUGGGUUUAAAGGGAGCGUAGGUGGAUUUUUAAGUCAGUUGUGAAAGUUUGCGGCUCAACCGUAAAAUUGCAGUUGAAACUGGCAGUCUUGAGUACAGUAGAGGUGGGCGGAAUUCGGGGUGUAGCGGUGAAAUGCUUAGAUAUCACGAAGAACUCCGAUUGCGAAGGCAGUUCACUGGACUGCAACUGACACUGAGGCUCGAAAGUGUGGGUAUCAAACAGGAUUAGAUACCCUGGUAGUC